This 260-nucleotide unclassified non-coding RNA is filed under the name uncultured fungus. RNAcentral describes it as "sequence contains ITS1". The stretch from base 1 to 117 matches the Rfam family "5.8S ribosomal RNA", at positions 49 to 154 of the family's 154-position model. The record is from RNAcentral. Lineage: Eukaryota; Fungi.
UGAAAGGCGAAACGUAAUGUGAAUCGCAACUAACAGUGAAUCAUCGAAUCUUUGAACGCAGGCCGCACCUUGCAAUAUCACUCUGUGUUCUUGCAAGGUAUCUACGUAUGAGUGUCAGCCAAAUUUUCUUUUGAUUUAAGUGAUGAAUUGAGUUUUUUGCUCUUGAAUUCCCUUGAAUACAUUGCGUUGUAUAGGACUUGUUCUAUACAAUAUCGUGUAAUGUCUGGCCUCAUAUGUGGAAGAUUACCCGCUGGAUUUAA